Biomphalaria pfeifferi is the source of this 905-nucleotide non-coding RNA. The record is from the annotation of a GenBank genome assembly. NCBI's taxonomy places the organism in Eukaryota, Metazoa, Mollusca, Gastropoda, Planorbidae.
CUUGAUUAAAAAAAAACAACAGAAAAUUGUAGAAAGCUUAUAAAUAAAAUAAACAUAACUUUUAGAACAUUUUAGAUCGUCAACCCUUCAGUGACUACACAAGUAAUGGUGGUCACAAUAAACCCUAUAUGAAAAACAUUAAGUUAUAAUACCUGUCUAAUCAAUAAGUGACUCAUUGGUAUAAUGAAGAACACAUUGAACAGCUUGACAUAUAUAUAUAAAAAAAAAAAAGAAAGAUGGUAUAAAGUUUGAAUAAUUGACAUGUAACAAAGAGAAAGAUGGUUGUCACAUAAAAAAACCUAUCAAAAUUGUUUAAACAUCAACACAUUUUUUACCUUCAGAUUUAGUCUCAAAAGCACUGUAAAUGUUCAGGGGAAUAUUCUUGAAGGUAUUUUUAGGUCUCCACUAUAUAAGGAACAAUAACAGUAAAAAGUCCAUAAGUUUUGCAAUUGAUGUUAAUCUAGUUCUAGUUGUGAAAGUACAGAAUUGUAAUAGCCAGACAAUACCAGCAGCACAAAGCUUGCAUGCGACACACGCCAUACACAAGUGUCUAAUUACAAGGUUCUCAAGCUAACUUGUACAAAAUACAUUUUAAAAAUAAACCAGACAUGAACAUCAGAAAUGUAAGAAGUAAUAAAUUCAUGAAAUUGACACAAUUUGAGAUUCAAGGAAGCUAUGUGUUUUGAAAUAUGGCAAGGUCAGAGAAUAAUAAACAAAUACAUUGUCUCAACCUAAUAAGCUAUGUGUUUUGAAAUAUGGCAAGGUCAGAGAAUGAUAAACAAAUACAUUGUCUCAACCUAAGAAGCUAUAUGUUUUGAAAUAUGGCAAGGCCAGAGAAUGAUAAACAAAUACAUUGUCUCAACCUAAAGGAAGCUAAGUGUUUUGAAAUAUGGCAAGGCCAGAGA